CUACGGGACGCAGCAGUGGGGAAUAUUGCACAAUGGGGGAAACCCUGAUGCAGCAACGCCGCGUGGAGGAAGACGCAUUUCGGUGUGUAAACUCCUUUUCUAAUAGAAGAAGUUGACGGUCUAUUAGGAAUAAGCACCGGCUAACUCCGUGCCAGCAGCCGCGGUAAUACGGAGGGUGCAAGCGUUACUCGGAAUCACUGGGCGUAAAGGGUGCGUAGGCUGUUUGAUAAGUCAGGGGUGAAAUCCCACGGCUCAACCGUGGAACUGCUCUUGAAACUAUUAGACUAGAGUGAGGGAGAGGUAGAUGGAAUUAGUGGUGUAGGGGUAAAAUCCGUAGAGAUCACUAGGAAUACCGAAAGCGAAGGCGAUCUACUGGAGCUUAACUGACGCUGAGGCACGAAAGUGUGGGGAGCAAACAGGAUUAGAUACCCCCGUAGUC
RNAcentral lists this ribosomal RNA (439 nucleotides) under uncultured bacterium. RNAcentral describes it as "partial 16S ribosomal RNA". It matches the Rfam family "Bacterial small subunit ribosomal RNA", at positions 339 to 795 of the family's 1533-position model. The record is from RNAcentral.